Molecule: ribosomal RNA, 207 nt
Filed under: uncultured bacterium
Lineage: Bacteria
Description: partial 16S ribosomal RNA
Rfam family: Bacterial small subunit ribosomal RNA
Source: RNAcentral
CUCGUAGGUGGUUUGUCGCGUUGUUCGUGAAAACUCACAGCUUAACUGUGGGCGUGCGGGCGAUACGGGCAGACUGGAGUACUGCAGGGGAGACUGGAAUUCCUGGUGUAGCGGUGGAAUGCGCAGAUAUCAGGAGGAACACCGGUGGCGAAGGCGGGUCUCUGGGCAGUAACUGACGCUGAGGAGCGAAAGCGUGGGGAGCGAAAG